GGCUGCAUGGUCUAGUGGUUUGAAUGUUGGACUGGGAUUCUGGAGACCAGGGUUCGAAUCCUGGCUUGGCCA
RNAcentral lists this transfer RNA (72 nucleotides) under Phrynosoma platyrhinos (Desert horned lizard). Its description in RNAcentral is "tRNA-OTHER". Lineage: Eukaryota; Metazoa; Chordata; Lepidosauria; Squamata; Phrynosomatidae. The record is from RNAcentral.